This 592-nucleotide ribosomal RNA is filed under the name uncultured bacterium. RNAcentral describes it as "bacterial SSU rRNA". It matches the Rfam family "Bacterial small subunit ribosomal RNA", at positions 338 to 945 of the family's 1533-position model. The record is from RNAcentral.
CCUACGGGAGGCAGCAGUGGGGAAUCUUGCGCAAUGGGCGAAAGCCUGACGCAGCAACGCCGCGUGCGGGAAGAAGGCUUUCGGGCUGUAAACCGCUUUCAGCAGGAACGAAAAUGACGGUACCUGCAGAAGAAGGAGCGGCCAACUAUGUGCCAGCAGCCGCGGUGAUACAUAGGCUUCAAGCGUUGUCCGGAUUUAUUGGGCGUAAAGAGUUCGUAGGCGGUCGAGUAAGUCGGGUGUGAAAAUUCUGGGCUCAACCCAGAGACGCCACCCGAUACUGCUUGACUUGAGUUCGAUAGGGGAGUGGGGAAUUCCUAGUGUAGCGGUGAAAUGCGCAGAUAUUAGGAGGAACACCGGUGGCGAAGGCGCCACUCUGGAUCGAUACUGACGCUGAGGAACGAAAGCAUGGGUAGCAAACAGGAUUAGAUACCCUGGUAGUCCAUGCCGUAAACGGUGGGCACUAGGUGUGGGUUUCUAUUAACGAAAUCCGCGCCGUCGCUAACGCAUUAAGUGCCCCGCCUGGGGAGUACGGUCGCAAGCUAAAACUCAAANANAUGCGCGNGAGACGNGCCGAGACGACACGAGGAGUAGG